UACGAAGGGGGCUAGCGUUGCUCGGAAUCACUGGGCGUAAAGGGUGCGUAGGCGGGUCUUUUAAGUCAGGGGUGAAAUCCUGGAGCUCAACUCCAGAACUGCCUUUGAUACUGAAGAUCUUGAGUUUCGGGAGAGGGUGAGUGGAACUGCGAGUGUAGAGGUGAAAGUCGUAGAUAUUCGCAAGAACACCAGUGGCGAAGGCGGCUCACUGGCCCGAUACUGACGCUGAGGCACGAAAGCGUGGGGAGCAAACAGG
RNAcentral lists this ribosomal RNA (256 nucleotides) under uncultured bacterium. RNAcentral describes it as "partial 16S ribosomal RNA". It matches the Rfam family "Bacterial small subunit ribosomal RNA", at positions 524 to 776 of the family's 1533-position model. The record is from RNAcentral.